RNAcentral lists this long non-coding RNA (1179 nucleotides) under Accipiter nisus (Eurasian sparrowhawk). RNAcentral describes it as "lncRNA (ENSANIG00000013724.1)". Lineage: Eukaryota; Metazoa; Chordata; Aves; Accipitriformes; Accipitridae. The record is from RNAcentral.
AUGUGCCGUGCCUGCAGAGAUGGGGGACGACGCUUCCCAUCCCGGCUCGAAACGGCUGCGUGUUCCCACCAGCCAGGGGACGUGGCGGCAACGGCAGCAGGCGAUGGAGGAGGAGAUGGAGGGCAGGCAGCACCUCUCCACACCGAACCUCCCUCCGGAGGGGUGAUGCCCUUGGCGUCAGAGAGAAAUUCGGUGUCUCAGUCCAUGUGGCAAGUCUUAAUGGGCUGCUUUGCCUGCAUGGCUGCGACUGGAAUACUCUCACUCAAGCCACCUAGCUGGACCUGCUUCCAAAAGGAGAGUUACUUUUACCUUGUUAGGCUUUUACAUCAAGCAGCAUUUCAGUUUCUCCAGCGAGCAGGUUUCCACGCAGUCAGGAGCACCUGGAACAACCCGUUUCAAUUAGCUUUUUACUUAUUUAUGGAGCCAGGGCUACAUCCAACGCCUGCGGGUCACAAAGGAGCCUCCCAGCUCCCCCGCACCGGCUGCGGAGAGCACUGUCGGUCAGGGCGCGACGGGAUUACGCAGGGAUGUGCCCACGCUCGCCUGCUUUAUUUCAGGAAUGAUCUCGGAGCUGCGUACUGUAGCGCACAGCUCCCGGUCGGUGUGGGUCACCAAGCUCCACGAGCUCCAGCUGUUGGGUCACCUAAGUGGGCUGAAAACAGGUUUAUAUGGCGGGGUGGUAGAAAACCCACCCAUGCACCCAUGUCACGUCUACUGCAGGGCACCAGCUGCGCAAUGCAGCUCAGCUCAGAGCAUGCCUCCGUGUUGCAACCAGCAGCAAAGUGGCAUGACAUGGAGCAAUGCCUUGAAAGACCGGAAUUCGGAGUAAACCCCAGCCAUCCAUCGCAACAGAGCAAGUUGCUUGUCUUCUCUUUGCCGCUGCUGGGAAUAUGGAGGGAGUUGUUCUGCCCUUCCCCACAGAGAGGUGGGGAAGCCUCCAGGAUCUUCCAGCAGCACGUUGCUUUCGUUGUGCAAGCCUCAGUCCAGCCAGACUGGACAAGUCCCCUCCCUGCAAGACCCAGAUGCCCUUGGAGGCAUCCUCAGCAGAGAUGCUCAGAAGGACUGCUCUGUAGGGCUGCCUCCCUACGCUACAAAGUGCUUUUUUCAUCCAGGCAAGCAUAUCUGGGGCAGGCAGCAGCAGAGAAAUGGUUCACACCGAGGCUGAACAUCCAAACCUGA